GACAGGGAGGCCUGGCAUGCUGUGAUUCAUGGGGUCGCAAAGAGUCAGACACUGACUGAGCGACUGAACUGAAGUGGACCUAUAGAUUAUCAUACAGAGAAUGUCAGAAAGAGAAAAAACAAAUAUCAUAUAUUAACACACAUAUAUAUGGAAUCUAGAAGACCCUAUUUUAGAAUGCUCUCUAUUUUUAUUUGGAAUUUACAGUGAAAGACAGUGUAGGUCAGUAAGAACUUUGCAUUCAGAAGACUUGGACUUGAAUUUUGUUUCUGACAUUAAGUAUAUACAUUUCCUUGGUCAAGCAACUUAAUGCCUCAGGAUCAUUAUCUAAUGGGAGAACACUUAACUAGUGGGUUGUUAUGAAGAUUAAAGGAGAGAGUGCUGGUAAUACACUUAAAAAAUAAGAAUAAAUGUAUUUUAUUGUUUAAACCUUUUAAAUUAUAGUAUAUAACACAGAAAGACCUAUAACAUAAUGGUCCAACUUGAUGACAAAUAUUUGUAAAUAAUGAGUGGUUUCCUAAUCUUUUAUUUCUAAUAGCAGAUCUGCCCUUCUAACGUGUUAUUUACCUGGCUCACCACUGGUUCAAGGUAAAACUGAGAUGUACCAAGUAUUUUGGAUGGCUUUUCUUUCCUUUCCCAUGGUCCUUCCCUUAUUGUUACCUGUGAGUGACAUGGUCUGUGAUCAAGUUCCAUAACUCUCCAGGCAUCAGGGGUGGACAGUAAGUUCAGGCAUCCUUAGAACAUCAUACAUGUGAUUGUUUCCAUGCUUCUUCCUAAAGGGCAGCUGUCUAGCUGCUGAACCUGGGGUUGCUUUUUCUCUCUUGACCAGAUCAAAUAUUUUUUAACAUCUUCUUGUUUGCACUGAAAUGGAUAUUUUGAGAUACCAAAUAUCAGAGUCCUUGAUUUUCUGUUAAAUGCAAUGCCAGAUGAUACCCAUGUCUUGCACAGCUUUCAGCUCUCCGUCAAAAAGCAGGAUCUCUUAUUGUCCCAAAGUCCUAAGCCCCUGGAGGUAGAAUUGGUCCUUGGGUGAUUAUUGAUGCAUUAUUAUAAUGCAAGCACACUUGAAAUCGCCACCCAGGUGAAGAAAUAGAACUUUGCUAGUCACCCAAAAGUCCUCUGUGCCCCAUCUCAGUCGCAGCUUUCUGCCUUCCCCCCCAAAAGUAACUGUUAUCCUAACUUUAAAGAUAAUCACAUUCUUGCCUCUUGUCACCAAAGUGUGCAUCUCUAGAUGCUACCAUUUUGUCUUAAAAAAUUAUGUCUCUUAAAUCCCUUUUUACCAACCUGCUUUAAAAAGGACUAUAUUUUAAAAAGAACAGUUUUAGGUUCACAGCAAAAUUGUAAGGAAAUAGAGAUUCUCAUAUCCCCCCCUGCCCAACCCCUAUGCACAGCCUCCUCCAUUAUCAACACCCCGGCCACCAGAGUGGUACCUUUGUUAUAAUUGAGAGAUCUACACUGACACAUUCAUAAUCACCCCAAAUCCAUAGUUUACAUUAGAGUUCAGUCAAUAUCAUACAUUCUAAGAGUUUGCACAAACAUACAAUGACAUGUAUCUACCAUCAUAGUAUCACACAGAGUAGUUUGAUUGCUGUAAAAAUUCUCUGUGAUCCACCAGUACUCCCUCUGCCCCCAUGAUGCAUUUUUUAAUAAUGUCUCCAGCUGCCUCCCUGACAUUCUGAGGAUGAAUUUGAAUAGAGAUGGCUAAUCAAAAUUUUCAAACAUAACAAGUCCAAAGACUGCAGCCCCUUUGGCUUUUUUUUGUUUAUGUUUUUCCUAUUCUUGAAACCAACUGAGAUCAUCCAUGCCUCCAGUUCUUGUGCGUAAAGUUGCCUCCAUCUGAUAUACUCUUCCUCCAUAUCUUUGAAAAACAGACUUUUCCUCAUCAUUUAAGACACAACUCAGCUAUCACUUUGAUGACCGGUAUCACCAUCAUCACCACAUUGUCCUCUUUCAUUUCUCCCAUAUCACUCUCACUCUCUACUUUUAUCUUGAAAAUUAUCUAUUCUCCCCAAUCAAAAUCUCCCUGAGGCUUGUGGAGAUUGCCUUUUUACUCUGUCUGUUGUGUCCUUUAUGAGCAGAAUUAAAUUUUUUUUGGCUGCAGCAUGUAGCAUGCAGAUCUUAGUUCCCUAACCAGGGAUCGAACCCAUGCUCCCUGCAAUGAAAGCGUGGAGUCCUAACCAUUGGACUUCCAGGGAAGUCCCAGAAUUUAAAAUUGUUGAUGUUACCCAAUUAUCUGCUUUUUAUUUCGCCAUCUGUGCUUUAGCUGUCACAUACAAGAAAUCAUUACCAAAUCCAAUUAUCAUGAGGCUUUCCCCCUAUAUUUUCUUCUAAGAGUGUGGCUUUACCUCUUACUUUUGAGUUUUUGAUCGACUUUUAAUUCAGUUUUAUGUAUGGUUUAGGUAAGGGUCCGGUGUUAUCCUUUUCUGUGUGGAUAUCCAAUUUUCCCAGCAACACUACAACCUCUUAAAUGAUAGACUUGCUUUACCUUGACCCACCUAAUCCAUUCUCUUCCACUGGUCAGGGUGACCAUUCACAAAUAUUUAAAACUCUCUUUAGUGCUUCCACAUACAAUCUACACAUAGCCCUAAUAAUCUGGCCCCUGUCUUCUCCAGCCUCAUCCACCCCCACUUCUUCACAAGAUUCCCAGACUUGGCUACAGUGAACUGAAAAUUUGGCAGGACAGUCUCUCUCUGUGUGGAAUCUUUCUCCCCCAUCUCUGCUAGUAAACUUCAAAUAGUACUUCAACUUUUCUGAUAUUGUUAAGUUAGUUAAAUAAGGAGGUCAUUAGACUAAGUGUUCUUAUGCCUUAGCAGACCACAAGGGCAAACCAACAUCUAAGGGCACCCAAUCACAAACAGCAAACUUGGCUGUCCCUUAAAAAAGGCAACUGGGUAAGCUAUAGCCAAUCAAAUCAUCUCCUUGCUUUUCUUCUGCAUCUUCUCUGUAAAGUCUAACCCCAUCUCCUGUCUGCAGAGCACUCCUAACCACAUCAGGUUUGAUGCUGCCCAAUUCAAAUAGAUUUUAACUCAGGUAAAUAAUUUAAAAAUUGAACAUGUCUCAAUUUAUCAUUUAACAGUUCUAUUUUCCUGAAACACCUUCCCCCCUUUCCAGUAUGCAUAAGAUCAGGAGAUGGCAAACGUCAGCCCUGAGGACAGGUCCAGCCCAUCACUUGAUUAGUAGCAUCGCCAUGUCCAGUCACGUAUGUAUCGUCUGUGGCUGCUUUUGUACAAAGUGGUGAUGGCAGGACUGAAUAGAGGUGACUAUUAUAUAUGACCCCAAAAGCAAAGAAACCUAUCCUUGGCCCUUGACAGAAAAAGUCUCUGGAUCCUGGUUUAGAUAGCUCUGUUGAUGUAUUCCUAUUUUCAUCUUGCUGUGAUGGAAUGUCACAGUUUAGGCCAUCUUGUCCUAUAUCUGCCUUUUUUCUCCGUUCUCACCGUAAGAGUAGGGCCUGGGCUAACACAAUGCCUGGCACAUAAUCGGUUCUCCAUCUAUGUUAACCAAAUUAGUUCAAAACAAUUCCUUCCUAUAAAUAUCAUUAUAAGGUUAUUCUAAAUAAACUCAUUCAACUGAAUGUGAAUCUUUGAAAUCAUGCCCAUGACUAGGCCCCUGGGAGGGGUACAAAAGCAAUAGGAAAUCUGGUCAUCAUUUCUGAGAAGGACAUAAGAAUUUAAGGGUCUGGAUGGGGCACAAGAAUCAAAUGUAUUAAAAAGAGAAUGUCAUAGAGCAAAGCGAGGAUGUACUUAGAGAGCAGAGGACCAGGAUGAGAGACCCUGGUGGGACUAAUUAACACAGGCUUUUGGAAUGUAGGAAUCCCAAGUGGUGCCAAACUUGACUGCGCAUUGUAAUCAGCUGGAAUGCUUUAAAGAGCACUGAAGCCUGAGUCCCGCCCUGGGGAGUCUGAUUCAUUUGAUUGGGGUACAGACUAGGCAUCUGUUUUUUUUAAAAAUCCCUAGAUGAGUAAUGAAAAUGUUCUGGAGCUAAGUGUGAUGAUAGCAUGACAUUGUGAAUGUAUUAAAUGUCACAAAUGUGACUCUUAUGUGUAAAUUUCAUGUUUGUGUAUUUUAAUACAGACACGUGCAAUCACCCACAUGCUUGUGUCAAACAGUUCCCAGGUGAUUUUAAUGACAAGUCAAAGUUGGGCAUCAGUGAGCCUUUGUUACAAUUUCUGAGAUAAUAAGAGUCAAGUGGAGGUCUUUAUUAAAUAAUUAGGCUGCCAGAAUGCUGAGCCAGAAAUUUCCAUUCUGUUGAUCUUGUUGGGAGCAAAGAAAUUUUCUUUCCAACUAGAGCCCCAGGUGAUUCUUAUUGCAAGAGAAGUUUGGGAAAUCCAGUCUAGUUUAGUGCUUCCCAGAGUUGCUCAAUCUAAAAAAAACUCUUGGGGCUCUCUUAAGCUCGAUUCUGGAACCAACACCAGAGAGUCUCCAGAAUAAAGAUGGGACUCCGCAGGUUUAAGCUACCCAGCUGAUUCUUUGAAGCAGGCAAAUUUAAGAAGCGCUCUCUAGUUCAGUCCUUGAUAUUGGUUGGCUCUUCUACAAAACUUCUGAAGGCUUAAAAGAGAAUCAAAUUCCCUUCUCCCAAAGAUGCCGAUUCUGGGGUAGGGUCUAAACAUCGACAGCUUUUUGUCCCUUAAGUCUCCCUGUUUUCCCCACCUCAGAGCCUCUGACAACCACUUGUCUACUGUUUCUAGGAGUUUGACAUUUUCCCCCUCAUUGAUCGAACCCAGGCCAUGGCAGUGAAAGUGCCAAAUCCUACCCACCUGACAGCCAGGGAAUUCCCCGGAUACUCUUAUGUUGGAUGUGUAGAAGGGAAGAGACACAGGCAUGGCCUGUUGUCCCACAGCGCCUUGAGCAGUCCUCAGAUCAAAUACAUUCCAGAUCCAGACAAAGAGAAGUCUGGCCAAAGCAGUAACCCACAUCAGUGCCACCUACGGAUUAAUGGCUUGCCUGUUCUGGUCCCUAGAAUCUUGGUGCCGUGGUCAGGUAGGGUUCACAGUUCAGUGGUUAUUGAAUGUGCUUAGCUGUGAAGGAGACAAUUACAUUGUAAGGAUUAGUAAUCUCCCUUCAAAUUCCUUAUUUAUGUGUCUGUCUCCUGGCUAGAUGGAGAACUUCUGGAGACAGGAGCUUUAUUUAUUGUUUUAUCUCCAGCAGUUACCUCAAGGGCUUGGCAUAGAAUGGAGAUUUAUAAUUGUUGAUAUAAUUAAUGAUUGGAAUAGACCAUGUCUCUUUGGAAAUACCAAAAUGAUGAUCAACUCAUUUUGAUCUACCUGCGGGAUUUCUGUCUUCAACAAUAAUAGAGUAUGAAGGUGGAGCACAGAGAAAAGUAAACAUUAAAUUUCAGCCUAAAAACACGAUAGGAAACCUCCGAGGUUUUUGAGUGACUGAUUGCCACGUGCAACAGGAGGCUACCACAGCAGUGCCCGGCUGAAAAUGUUGGUGUCCCCUGGAAUCGGCACUGGUGACCUGUUUCGGCAGAGACAGCCAUUGUGCUGUUGCAUCCUUCCAACCUAGCACCUGAGUCAGCGCUUUGGGGAAAAAAACUUACUCAUUUUCAAAGUUUUCACUGGCCAAAACGUCAGUGACUGACAGCUCCAGCACCCACUCCUGUGAGAGCCGCUGCCCUUCCUCACCCACGUGGCCCCUGUGGGCAGCACCCACUCCUGUGAGCGCCGGUGCCCUUCCUCACCCACGUGGCCCCUGUGGAAGGCAUCAUUUUCUUCUGUGAACCCACACCCCAAUCUCAGCUGAGCUGGGUGUCUUCCUGCAAUUUAUUGUCAUAUGAAGAAAACCAGUCUACAGUGACAACCCACAGAGCCAAAAUGGGGAGACAAAGAAGAGCGACCAAGAGAGAGAAAGGACCACUGGCUGGUUUUAGGGCCCUGGUUCCAGUCUUGAGCUCAGCCACAUGUCUGCUGGGUUUGGUUGUUUUAACUCUUCUUGAGUUCUGCAAACCAGUAAGUUCUUCUUUCUCUCUCUGUUGCUUAGAGAAGUGUUUCUAUCACUUGGAACCAAGCAAAUACAACAUCAAGAGCAGUUUAUGGUUGCCACCAGGCAAAGUUCUUUUUCCUGCACUUACUUGAAUGAUCUGUAUCUCUAGACUGUGGUUGCUAGAAACUAUUAUCUGAGUUACUCUUCUCAUUAGAAACUGCUGGUGAAGAUGGGAGAACUAAGCUCUAUGAAGAUUUGUUUUACUUAAUCCAGAGAUACAAAAAAUGCCCUUACACCCACAUGAUAGAAUGACUUUUUAUUUUAUUUUUAAACUACAAUAUUGUAUUGGUUUUGCCAAAUAUUGAAAUGAAUCUGCCACAGGUAUACAUGUGUUCCCCAUCCUGAACCCUCCUCCCU
Bubalus bubalis (water buffalo) is the source of this 6332-nucleotide long non-coding RNA. RefSeq lists it as uncharacterized. The transcript is spliced from 5 exons. Lineage: Eukaryota; Metazoa; Chordata; Mammalia; Artiodactyla; Bovidae. The record is from RefSeq and is a predicted model, not a curated record.